Molecule: non-coding RNA, 115 nt
Organism: Triticum aestivum (bread wheat)
Lineage: Eukaryota; Viridiplantae; Streptophyta; Magnoliopsida; Poales; Poaceae
Source: Rfam
CAAGUACUCCCUCUGUCCGGAAUUACUUGUCAUCAAAAUGGAUGUGUCUAGAACUAAAAUACAUCUAGAUACAUCCAUUUCAAUGACAAGUAUUUUCGGACAGAGGGAGUACAAG